RNAcentral lists this ribosomal RNA (497 nucleotides) under uncultured bacterium. Its description in RNAcentral is "partial 16S ribosomal RNA". It matches the Rfam family "Bacterial small subunit ribosomal RNA", at positions 28 to 507 of the family's 1533-position model. The record is from RNAcentral.
GACGAACGCUAGCGGCGUGCCUAAUACAUGCAAGUAGAACGCUGAAGCGAGGAGCUUACUCUUCUUGGAUGAGUUGCGAACGGGUGAGUAACGCGUAGGUAACCUGCCUUGUAGCGGGGGAUAACUAUUGGAAACGAUAGCUAAUACCGCAUAACAAUGGAUGACACAUGUCAUUUAUUUGAAAGGGGCAAUUGCUCCACUACAAGAUGGACCUGCGUUGUAUUAGCUAGUAGGUGAGGUAAUGGCUCACCUAGGCGACGAUACAUAGCCGACCUGAGAGGGUGAUCGGCCACACUGGGACUGAGACACGGCCCAGACUCCUACGGGAGGCAGCAGUAGGGAAUCUUCGGCAAUGGGGGCAACCCUGACCGAGCAACGCCGCGUGAGUGAAGAAGGUUUUCGGAUCGUAAAGCUCUGUUGUAAGUCAAGAACGGGUGUGAGAGUGGAAAGUUCACACUGUGACGGUAGCUUACCAGAAAGGGACGGCUAACUACGUG